UUCUCAGUUCGGACUGCAGUCUGCAACUCGACUGCACGAAGCUGGAAUCGCUAGUAAUCGCGGAUCAGCACGCCGCGGUGAAUACGUUCCCGGGCCUUGUACACACCGCCCGUCACACCAUGGAAGUCUGCAAUGCCCGAAGCCGGUGGCCUAACCACUUAUGUGGAAGGAGCCGUCUAAGGCAGGGCAGAUGACUGGGGUGAAGUCGUAACAAGGUAGC
RNAcentral lists this ribosomal RNA (220 nucleotides) under uncultured bacterium. Its description in RNAcentral is "partial 16S ribosomal RNA". It matches the Rfam family "Bacterial small subunit ribosomal RNA", at positions 1285 to 1500 of the family's 1533-position model. The record is from RNAcentral.